GAACGCACCUUGCGCCCUUUGGCUAUUCCGAAGGGCAUGCCUGUUUGAGUAUCAUGAACACCUCAACUCUCAUGGUUUGCCAUGAUGAGCUUGGACUUUGGGGGUCUUGCUGGUCUAUAGUCAGCUCCUCUAAAAUGAAUCAGCUUGCCAGUGUUUGGUGGCGUCGCAGGUGUGAUAACUAUCUACGCUUGUGGACUUCCGCCAGGCAACCUCCAGCGAUGGGGGUUCGCUGGAGCUCACAAACGUCUCUCCUGAGCGAGGACAGCUUUUUGAACGUUUGAUCUCAAAUCAGGUAGGACUACCCGCUGAACUUAAG
RNAcentral lists this unclassified non-coding RNA (316 nucleotides) under uncultured fungus. RNAcentral's name for it is "sequence contains 5.8S rRNA gene". The record is from RNAcentral. Lineage: Eukaryota; Fungi.